CAUGGCGGGUGCUACCUGCAAGUCGAACGUGAUCCGCCCUUCGGGGUGGUGAAAGUGGCGCACGGGUGAGUAACGCGUGGAUAAUCUGCCCGAGGAUUUGGGAUAACAUCUCGAAAGGGGUGCUAAUACCGAAUAAGCCCACGGGGUCUACGGAUCUUGCGGGAAAAGGGGGGGACCUUCGGGCCUCCUGUCCUUGGAUGAGUCUGCGUACCAUUAGCUAGUUGGUGGGGUAAUGGCCUACCAAGGCGACGAUGGUUAGCUGGUCUGAGAGGAUGAUCAGCCACACUGGAACUGAGACACGGUCCAGACUCCUACGGGAGGCAGCAGUGGGGAAUUUUGCGCAAUGGGGGAAACCCUGACGCAGCAACGCCGCGUGGGUGAUGAAGGCCUUCGGGUCGUAAAGCUCUGUCUGGAGGGAAGAAAUGAUUGGGAGCUAAUACCUCUUGAUCUUGACGGUACCUCUGAAGGAAGCACCGGCUAACUCCGUGCCAGCAGCCGCGGUAAUACGGAGGGUGCAAGCGUUGUUCGGAAUUAUUGGGCGUAAAGCGCGUGUAGGCGGUCUUUUAAGUCUGAUGUGAAAGCCCCGGGCUCAACCUGGGAAGUGCAUUGGAAACUGGGAGGCUUGAGUACGGGAGAGGAGAGUGGAAUUCCUAGUGUAGGAGUGAAAUCCGUAGAUAUUAGGAGGAACACCGGUGGCGAAGGCGGCUCUCUGGACCGAUACUGACGCUGAGACGCGAAAGCGUGGGUAGCAAACAGGAUUAGAUACCCUGGUAGUCCACGCCGUAACGAUGAGUACUAGUGUUGCGGGUAUUGACCCCUG
Molecule: ribosomal RNA, 820 nt
Filed under: uncultured Geobacter sp.
Lineage: Bacteria; Pseudomonadati; Thermodesulfobacteriota; Desulfuromonadia; Geobacterales; Geobacteraceae
Description: bacterial SSU rRNA
Rfam family: Bacterial small subunit ribosomal RNA
Source: RNAcentral